ACUCUGUUGUUUUUGUGACGCUUAGUUCUUAAGCAGACAGGAGGCCGCUCGCUGUUUUCCUUGUUGCUGUUGCACUCACUCAUCUCUUGAGCAGUGAGGUCAUCUUCCAAUAUGAUCUCCAGGGGAUCAAAAAUACUGAUCCUGUGCAAGCGCCCUUCAAUUUCUAUCUCUACCAUCCUUUGAGCUUGAGCGUAGGUCAGCGUUUCUCGCGUAGGGGAGUGUU
This 223-nucleotide long non-coding RNA is filed under the name Homo sapiens (human). Its description in RNAcentral is "HSALNT0406709". Lineage: Eukaryota; Metazoa; Chordata; Mammalia; Primates; Hominidae. The record is from RNAcentral.